GCGCUUAUGGCAGAAAGGAUUAUGCAUCGGACUUCUAUUCCGACUCAUGUGGGUUCGAAUCCUACUAGGCGCGCCA
RNAcentral lists this transfer RNA (76 nucleotides) under Acinetobacter sp. Ver3. RNAcentral describes it as "tRNA-Arg". It matches the Rfam family "tRNA". From Rfam's summary of the family: Transfer RNA (tRNA) molecules are approximately 80 nucleotides in length. Lineage: Bacteria; Pseudomonadati; Pseudomonadota; Gammaproteobacteria; Moraxellales; Moraxellaceae. RNAcentral also lists the same sequence under 1 other name. The record is from RNAcentral.